Non-coding RNA from Macaca mulatta (Rhesus monkey), 7870 nucleotides. The record is from RefSeq and is a predicted model, not a curated record. NCBI's taxonomy places the organism in Eukaryota, Metazoa, Chordata, Mammalia, Primates, Cercopithecidae.
CGGCAGGUGGGCGGACACAGAAAGGCGACGCCGAGAGCCGGGUUGUCCCGGAAAUGCCUUCCCUCCUCCCGGGUCUGCGUGGACGCGGACUCCUUACCUCAUUUGUCGUCGCCCCUCCCCGUCUCUCUACGCGUUUUGGUUCCCGGCUGGUGCUUCCUGUUUGCAACCGCGGCAGUGAGUAUGUCUGUGACGGACCCCGAACCACCCGCGGCCUGGGACGCCUGCCUACCCUACGUCUCUCCCGCCGGGCUGUGGAACUAGCGCGUGCCCCCUCGCCAGCCUCGACGUCUCCCGUCCGCCCCUCACUCGUGGCAGGGCGCAGCUCCUGGUUCCUCAGUUGCGCGCCUACCCACGCUGCCGGGCUGCGGGUCUGGGGGUCCGCGUCUCCCUGGCCCUCCAAGGGCUAAGGCCGUGAUUCUGGAGCGGCUGGGCGUCCGGGGCCUCGGUGGGGGUGGCGUGUCUGCCGUUUUUACUUCCCCGCAAGACACCCAGUCUUGUAGGGAAGCCAGUCAGUGAAGCGCAGAGAUCUCGACGCGCCGAGAGGGAAUCCAGUCUUUGAGGACCGAGUAGUCCCGGGCCACCUCCCGCCUCUGCUGUCAGAAGCAGCAGCUGCAGCCGUGGAAUCCAAGAUUUCGGGAGCUGUGUCCCUUUCCUCAUGUAAAACAAGUAGACUUGGACUGUGUUUACUAAGGCGCCCUUUAUCCCUCCCAUCCUGUGAGCGGACAGUUGCCUUCAACUUUCGGGAAGAGCUGCCGGUUCGGUGGAAAAGCUGUGGCUGGGAAUCAGGAGGCCUGUGUUCUAGCCGUGGCUCCCCCACGAACUCGCUGGCGACUCCCAAAAGCUCAUAUUGAGGCUGGAUUUAAGAUUAUUUCAGAUUACACUAUUGAAUUAGGGGCUCCAUUAGGGCCUUUUUCGCUCAGUAAGUUUAUCUGAGCCCGUUUCUCCAACUAUAAAACGAGAGCGUUCAGUUUGAUGACUUUUCAGGUCCCCUCAGAAGCUCUUGACUUUGUGGUUUUCUUUUUCUUUUUAAACUUUUAUCUAAGACCGUUAGAGAAGUGACUUCGUGUUUUGAAUAGUUAGGCUGUCACAUACAAAGACUUUUAAAUGGAUUGUGUGUAUAUUUAGGAAAGCAUUAUGCUUUGGAGACAGUUUAGCAUUGCUGCUUUCAAGGGAAUCUGAAGAUGAGGAAUAAACUCAGGAAGGAUCGCAAGUGAUGAUUAUAGUAGUAUGUUAGGUAUCAGGGUAAGAGACUGCAUGACCGAAGGAAAAGGGCUAAGGGAAAGGUGAAGGAAAUGUUUCCGGAUAGGAUUAAUUCUCAUGAAAAUCAUGUCUAUAUCCCAAGAAGAGCUGGGACUUACGUGACUAAAUUUAGCUUAUUUUUUUCCCACCGAAAUACUGUGUUCUGUCUUUUGUGACCUUUGUUUUACACAUUUGGAUUCUCCACCCCAAUCUCAGAUUUGAUUCAGAGUGGCCGUCGCAUUUGAAAAAUGGACAUUUUAACCCCUUAGUCAGUUGUGUUUCACCUGUCACUAUGAGGACAGCUUAUUAAGAGUAAGAAAGAAAUUUUACGUUGAAAGUAUAUUCAUCACAUUCCAAUGACAUUUGGACUGAAAAUGAGGCUGUGGUUUUGAUUUAAAUCGGCCUGAAAGGAAUGCCUAUGUCAUCAAGAAGGAACAUCUAGGGAGGCUAAAGGUGCUUUGGAAGUAAGCAAAAGGCUAGAGUGCAGUGGUGUGAUCAUAGCUUACUGUCAACUUUGAACACUUGGGUUCAAGCUAUCCUCCCUCAGCCUCCCAAGGUGGGAGGUACAGGUGAGUACUCAUCCACCUCUGACAUUGGCCCUGUGUUCUCAUUCAACCAAUUCUGUUGGUACUGCCUGUUGACUACCAGAUUUGCUUACCCAGGAGUUAGACAGCAAGCAUGGGGAAUGCCUGGCACACAGAAUAUAUGGAAUUAGUGUUAGGAUUUUAGUAACUUCACAGUUGGAAAGAGGAAAAUAUGAAGAGCUAUUCGCAUAGGGUAGAUUAUAGGAGAGAAUGCAAAUUUUGAAAGCUACAUCAUCAAGGAUUAAAAUUUUGCUGCUAGCUUUGUCUCUAUGAUAAUGUGGUCAUGUAGCUUAAUGCUUAUUCCUUCAAAAAGUUCAUUCUUUUCAUUUUCCUCCCUUUGUGCCUAAUGCUCAGUCUCUUGCACUAGUUUCUGAAGUGGUCUUCUUUUAUAUCUGCCCUAUAUGCUGUUGUUAAAACUGGUAUUAAAAUGCUCUUUUAUUCAUGGUACCUUAUUGCUCCAAAAUUUUUAAUGGCAUCCUGCUUCCCCAGGAAACGAUGGCAUUGAAUGUAGAUCAUACUUGGAGCCCCUGGGAUUGGCAAAUUUUUUUUUUAAGAAACCAGAUAGAAAAUAUUUUAGGUUUUUAAGUCAUAUGAUAUCUUAACUACUCAACUCUGCCCUUGUGGGAAAGUAGCCUUCGAUAAUACCUAUAGAAAUGGGGGUGGCUGUUCUCAAUAAAACCCUACUUACAAAAACAGGUGGCUGGCUCAGACUGUAGUUUGCUAACCCUGAGAACUUGACAGCAAAAAGAAGAGAUAAAUAGUAGUUAGAACAUAUAGCAGAUCAAAUAAUUUUUUUUCCAUAUAGGUAAGAUCUAAUAAUGUUUUUAGGUAGAAAGGAAGAAACUUGUGACUAAACCUGUUUGAUGUUUUUGGUGGGGGGCCAGGUUAGAGAGAGGAUCAGGUAUACAUGUUGUUGAAUUAUUUCUCAAAGGGAAGAGAGACAACAGUAAUUGCAAAAUCAUCAAAUAUUUAUAGAGGUAUAGAGGUAGAGGAGAAAGAAUAAAUUCAGAUGCACUGAGGUAGAUGAGAGUACCUAUGAGGAUUUGUUUGAUUUCCUUAGGAAAAUGAAAGCAGAAGUAGGAGAGGGCAGAGGAUAAUUGGAAGCUUAGAAUGGGGAAAGGAUGUUUUAGUACUGUGGAGAAUAUUUUCAGGCAGUGGUUACCAGUAUUUUGAAGAUGACACCUUGUUUAACCUCGAAACAAUUUGUGGACCACCCCAUCAUUGUAGUUACAUUUUUAGUAUUCAUCAAUGGAGAAUAUGCAUAUUAAAAAAAAGCUACUACUCAGUUCUCUCUUAGAUGACUUUGUAUUUUGUUAACCACAACAUUGACUGCACAUUUGAAAAAUGUUAAUACAUGUAUGUGAGAGAUAGUCUUUAUGUAAUGCAUUGCCCUGGGUACCCAACAAGAUAACUAAUUUAACAGCUUCCCAGGAGGCUGAAAGCUCGUAAGUUAGAAAUCAUUGCAUUCUAAUGAAUCAACAAUAAGAGAAUAAAGGAUUGCUUAGAAGUAGUAUUCUGUCAAAAUUAAAAUGAACUUAUAAUGAACACUUUGAAGGAUUCUAUAACUUUUUAUCCAGUAGUACUUGGCAGCUUUGAGCAAGAUGACAGAAGCAAAAUGAUCUAGGGUUAGGCAUAACAUUAUAUAGAAGGUCAGAAUAAACAUUUAGCUUAUUCUUUCUUUAAAUUACCUUUUCCUGAGAUCACACCCUGUUUCAUUAAUCACUUCUCUAUGGUGAUCAAAUUGGCAUCUCCUUUUCUUAACCAUUUUGUUGAUUUCAUGUUCCCCUUUUACACCUUACUGAAUAUUUUCAUUUGGGUAUCUUACUAUUUCACAUUUAACCUACUGAAAAGAAAGCUUCUUAUCGUUCCUUUGAAAGGAGCUCUCUGCUGAUUUCUGCUUGGAGUAGAGAAUCUACAGAGAUGCUGAAGUUGAUGGGAGACUGUGGAUAGAUUGGGAAAAAUAUGAAUUAGGUGUGGGAUUCAUUGAAGAAGUUGAACAAUGUCAUGACUGGUAAAUGAUGGUGAUGAGAAAGUAGAGAAAACCUACUGUUUGCUCCUACCAUUUGUUUUUUUAAUUUUAGCCAAAUAAAAUCAAAUUUUGCAUUUUUGAAAAUUAACUUGACUUUUGUACACUCUUACAAAUAUUCAAAUACAUGUUCUCUAUUUUAUUUCCUUAAUCCAAUAAUGUUGUAAUCCUAUUUCUUUCUAAUUAAUAAGCAAUAUAUUCAGUACCGAUGCCCAUUUAAGUGUGCUGUUACUCUCUAAUCAUUAUUAUUCCUUUCACAAGUAGAUCUGGGCAUAGGAACCAAUCAGAAACAAUCGCUUCAGCAACCAAGACCAUUGUUCACCAUGGAGGAACCCAUGGAUACGUAUCCUCUGAGCCUCUAUCUGCAAUACCAUUCACUGGGCAGCAGUCUUUUGAGCCAAGUGGCAAAUUUGGACAGUAUCCAUCUGAUGCAGAUGAACCACAUUCAGGCAUUGGGGAGGUGGAGGACACAGAACAGCUAAAUCAAUGUUUGAUCCAACACUUCCAUCUCAUUAAGACAAGUUUGACUUUUCUUUGGUUUUUAUUUCAUGGAAUACAUGAGAAUCUCUUAACUGUUGGAGUUUCCAAGGAGUCAUACCCUGUGACUUCAUUUGGUGGAAAGAACAAAACUAAAAUGCUGUAUGGCCAAAGCCACAAAGGGAAGGAUCUGCAAUUUACAUCCUUGCAGCUACUAUCUGUACUGUACUGUUGUGAUCUACUGAUUGGCAUUGGCAUAGUAGUAGGGGUCAAGUGACAGAAUCCGUGCCAACAGUUUCCAGGUUCAGAAGCAAUUCAAGACCCUAAUGGUAGCUCUCCAGCAACCAGCACGUGGUGAUUGUGCCAACUUGUUGCUCAGUUAUAAUGCAAGGCCAGUGAUUGAUUGGCUUAAGUCAAGACCCUGGCUGAGAUCAUUUGUCUUUGGUCUAAUAGAAUUUGAGUCUAGUAGAAUUCGAGUCUCCAGGGAAAGAGCUACUUGACCAAAUUAAACUAGUAGCAGGUAGAGCGCAAAUGACAGCAUAUUAUACCAUCAAGAUGUUCUUAGAGCAGUGUAUGGAUGGAUCUAUUGUACUGCCAUCAGUUGUGACUGAUACUGUUGUAUUCAAGGAGAAAGAGAAACUUCUUUAGAAAGCAUUUGAAAGUUUUUUGAGUAUGGGGGUGCCCUGUGUCACCCCAUUAUGGUUGAACUUUGUCCUUCAAAAUUACCAAACUUGGCAGCAGUGGCAAAUUAUUGGGCUAAAAGACUUAAUCAGACAUAUUCUGAGUUCAAGGCUCCUAAUAUAAUACCUGGUGCAGACGUUAUACUUCCACUCAUUCAGAUGGUUGCACCCCGCCAGGCAUCCAGUAGAACAGGGACUGGGAAUAUGGACACUUGAACAUUAAACAUUCUGAAGAAUUUUGGAAUGACAGGUUACAAGUGAACAUAAUCAGUUCCCCAUAUUUAAAAAAAAAAAAGAUUUGGGGAUAGAUUGGGCUCACAUACUAAUCUUUAGAGAGAUUUUUUCAUUUUUGUGAAAGUACAGAAAUUCUCAACUGCUUAUGACAUGCUGAUUGUUAGACAGCAUCCAUAGCUAUUUUAUGUUGUUUCCCUGACCCCACCCCCCCAAAAAAAAUUAUGGCACAUUGAAAACAGCAGUAUGAUGUAAGAGAAGAGAUCACAAACUCCUUGAGGGUGGGUCUUUUCCAUACUCAUAAACCUACUUAGGAUAUUCGGAGUAAUUUGUUGACACUUAUAUUAAUAUUUCCUCCUAUCCCAUUAAUUGCCAAAUCAUCAAACAUUUAUUGAGCAUCUACUCUGUGUAGGGUGUAAGCAGUACUGGGGACUUACAGUGAUAAAAGACAUAGUUUAGUUUUAGCUGUAAGUGAUGUACUGUUUCACUGAAGAGACAGAAUAUAAGAAGCCAAGUAAUUUAUGGAAUUCCCUUCUUUAUUUUUUAUUUUUUUCUUUUGGCAGUGGAGUCUUGCUUUUUAAAUAGAGCAAGGCUAGUCUGGAACUCCUGGGCUCAUGUGGUCCUCCCGCCUUAGCCUUCAGAGUAGCUGGGACUACAGGUGAGAACACAGCUUGGAAAUCCCUUAACCAUGGGAGUUAAGUCUCAAAAUUCUGGUGACACAAGUGGUUGAAACUUAAAACUUUAUUUAAAAAAUAGGAUUUGUGAAUUUUAGAUAGUUCAUAAGUCUACGAAAGACUGUAUAAAUACAUAUUUUACAUUUACUAUUAUUUGUAGUAAAUUUGAGUAUAGCAUUAUCUCUUUAUCUGUGGAAACUUCAAACUCUCCGCUAUUACUUUUAAUUUCAGUGAGACAUUAUUAAAUAUAAGUGGGCUUACACAUUUGUUUUGCUUAUCUGACAAAUAAUAUACAACUCGGAGGCGUUUUUUUCCUUUCUAUUCUUCCUCUAAAUGUUUAGCACUUCUCUGAUUUUGUGAUCUGAAGUUAUUGGUUAGCUUCCUUAGGCUCCAUUGAGACUAUAUAUACGUGACACUUAACAGUCUAGCCUUCCUUGGUACAUAUAGAUAUAUGAUGGUGGCUUUGCCUGUAGUAAAUUCAUGCCAAAACAUAGACUUUCAGUGCCUGUUACAUAUGACUUUCAGCUCUUUCUACUGAGGGAUGUAGGAGUUUAUUUCUAAGGUCUGAGCGUCUUUUCGUGUACUUCCUUUACUCUUUCCUCAGCCUUCUUUAUAAAAACUAUGGAUGUUCUAUCAUUUGUUUUCCUUUUUGAUUCCCUUUUAUUAUCCCCAGUAGCAGUGACUUGUAAUUCUCGUAUGUUAGAAAGGCAGAUCUCCUGAUUGAAGAAAAGAUCCACCCAAGGAAGUCAGCAUGUUUAAUAAUUUUUGAGGGGGAUCUCAAAUUUGGGAAGGAUUGUUAUAUAAGACAACCAAAUGAUGACAUGAGACAAUAAAUGCUAUAGGAAUUAUGGAGGAAAAAUCAGCUACUUAUUUUAUUGGUUAAGGAAGAGAUAUUAUUAGUUGUAGAAGUAAUUACUAUUCUACAUUUUUUAUUGUGGAAAUCAAAAAUAUAUAUACGAAAAUAAAAUGUUAUAUAAUUGACUUCAGUGUCCCAUAAGCCAGCUUCAGCAGUUACUAAAUUCUGACCAAUCUUUAAACACAUGCACACGUGUCCCUCAGUAUCUGUGAGGCAUUGGUUCUAGGACCACUCAUGGCUACCAGCGUCUAUGGAUGCUCAAGUCCCUGAUACAAAAUGGUGGAAUAUUUGCAUAUAACCUGUGUACAUCCCGUAUUAUUUAAAUCAUCUCUAGAUCACUUGUAAUACGUAAAACAAUGUAAAUGCCACGUAAAUAACUGUAUUAUUUAAGGAAUAAUGACAAGAAAAAUGUUCACGUUCAGUAUGGCUGCAAUUUUUUUUGUGUGUGAAAUAUUUUCAUUUCAAGGUCAGUUAAACCCAUUGACAUAGAAGGCUGACUGCGUGUGUAUGUAUAUGUGAAUACACACACAUACACAUACACACACACAUACAUAUAUUUCUGAAAGGUAAAUAUUCUUUUUUUUAAAAAAAUAUUAUUAUCACAGCUAAACAAAUUACCAAUAAUUCUUUUAUCCUCAUAUACCCAGUGUUCAGAUUUUCUAGAUUGGCUCCUACUUUUUUUUACAGAUUAUUUGAAUCUGAAUCAGUUCAUAUACUGUAAUGUUUGAUAACUUAAGUGUCCUUUAAUCUAUAGGUUCUCUUUUAUCUCUUCUUUAUUAAAUUCCUUGUAAUUUAUUGUACUAAAUAGAUUGUCUUCUAGAAUUUCCUGUAGUCUGAAUUAUGUAGUAUUGUUUGACAUGUUCCAGUGUCCUCUUAUUUUCUGAGUUGGUAGUUAGAUCUAGAAGCUUGAUUAAAUUCAGAUUUUCUUUCUGUUAGAUCGUCAACUUGAUAGACAGUUUCAUUUGUUUCAUUUUGCUUUUGAUACAUUGUUUUUUAGAAUUACCUCCUAAAAUUUUGAUUUAAUUUUAUAAUCAUGUAAAAUGCUUAUAAAGUUCCAAAUUCAGAUUACCAAAACACAAUAAAAUCUAUUCAGAGAAGGCAAA